This 253-nucleotide ribosomal RNA is filed under the name uncultured bacterium. RNAcentral's name for it is "partial 16S ribosomal RNA". It matches the Rfam family "Bacterial small subunit ribosomal RNA", at positions 524 to 776 of the family's 1533-position model. The record is from RNAcentral.
GACGGAGGUGGCGAGCGUUGUUCGGAAUCACUGGGCGUAAAGGGCGCGUAGGCGGUAGGUCAAGUCUGAGGUGAAAUCCUUUGGCUAAACGAUAGAACUGCCUUGGAAACUGGUCUACUUGAAUCAGUGAGAGGUGGGUGGAAUUCGUGGUGUAGCGGUGAAAUGCGUAGAUAUCAGGAGGAAAACCGGUUGCGAAGGCGGCCCUCUGGCGCUGUAUUGACGCUGAGGCGCGAAAGCGUGGGGAGCAAACAGG